Molecule: ribosomal RNA, 465 nt
Filed under: Vreelandella stevensii
Lineage: Bacteria; Pseudomonadati; Pseudomonadota; Gammaproteobacteria; Oceanospirillales; Halomonadaceae
Description: partial 16S ribosomal RNA
Rfam family: Bacterial small subunit ribosomal RNA
Source: RNAcentral
CCUACGGGUGGCUGCAGUGGGGAAUAUUGGACAAUGGGCGAAAGCCUGAUCCAGCCAUGCCGCGUGUGUGAAGAAGGCCUUCGGGUUGUAAAGCACUUUCAGUUGGGAAGAAAGCCUUGGGGCUAAUACCCUCGAGGAAGGACAUCACCCACAGAAGAAGCACCGGCUAACUCCGUGCCAGCAGCCGCGGUAAUACGGAGGGUGCGAGCGUUAAUCGGAAUUACUGGGCGUAAAGCGCGCGUAGGCGGUCUGAUAAGCCGGUUGUGAAAGCCCCGGGCUCAACCUGGGAACGGCAUCCGGAACUGUCAGGCUAGAGUGCAGGAGAGGAAGGUAGAAUUCCCGGUGUAGCGGUGAAAUGCGUAGAGAUCGGGAGGAAUACCAGUGGCGAAGGCGGCCUUCUGGACUGACACUGACGCUGAGGUGCGAAAGCGUGGGUAGCAAACAGGAUUAGAUACCCCAGUAGUC